AGCCUCCAUUUCUUUCUCCAACUUGGGCCCAGGCACAACGGCCUAGACCCUUGCGCCCCAGCACCCUAACCCAAGCUAGCCAUGUGCCUAGCUCAAGGCUCAAGUCGCUAGCCCUCGGCCCAAGCCAAGCCACCGCCACACCAAGCCGAUGAAGCACCCCACGACAACAGUCAUAACGUGGUUUCCCAGGCACCUUUUCACAUAUCCUCAACCCUCGUCGAGCCAAAUUUCAAACCCUGGGGUUCCCAAAAAUUACGAAGACAAGGAAAAAUCAAAUUUUUCUUACCUUGGAAGAUGAAGAAAGCAACGAAAGACGGUCCUUUGCAUGAGCAAGUGUAGAAGAUUGCUAGGGGAGGGGGAACAAACAUCCUCUAGCUUUCUCUCUUGUAGGGUAGAAGGAAUUACUCUCUGAAGUUGAUUUAAUAAUAUACUUAAGGUAGACUUAAAUAGACUUUGGAAGUAAUUUAUUUCCCUUUCCUAGAAUAAUCUAAUUUCCAAUUAAAAAGAGAAUCUACAUCAAAAUAGGAAACAAUCCUAUGUUUCCUAGAACAAGAAGAUCUCUACACCUACUGCCCUUUCAUGCGAGCAACCCAAUAGGUGUGGGGGCAUUUGUGGAGCAAAAAAUAAUCGAGAAAAAUAUGGAGGCGACACGUGUACUUUUGGGUUAAAAAGACAAAAUUACCCUUAAGGCACACCGGGACUUCCACGCGCAUGCAACAGACAAUAACGGCUCAAUCGAGGUCAAAGGUGAUCAAUUAUUGCAGCUAAGGAGCUGGGCGCCAAAUAAUAACUUGGUUGGCUCUAUAAAAUUAUAACCUAACAAUCACUUAGAGAUUAAUUUUUGUAUAAAAGAUCUUCAUUGAUCAUAAAGAGUUAUUAAUUGGUCGUAAAAUCACCAUCCUGUAGAAGAAAACUAAUACGUAUAAAGCAUGUUUAAUAAGAACAAGAAAAGUAAACAUUAGACACCUUCUGGAUUAUCAUUUUUAAAAUUCCCAUUUCUUUUCUUUUGUAAAUUCCAUUCCCAUUUUCAUAUUUGUCCGAUGCAUGUAAAAAAACAAAUAAAUAAAUCAAUUAUUAUAUAUAUUAAUUCGUUUAGAAGUAUUUUUUAAAACGAAUGAAAACGUUUUUAGUGAAAAUAGUUUUGAAAUCAAUCAUUAAUAAAAUUCAAAUGGAUCUUGGAGAAGCAUUUAAGUGUUUUAUGCAAGAAUCACAUAUCUAAUGAUUCUUCUAAGAGCACUUAAAAGACCUUGUUAUUUGAGAAGCAACUGCAUUCUUAUCUUUCAAACAUCUAUGUUUAGAGGUUUCAUGUUGCGAUACUUAACAAUCGUAUGCAUUAAUGGAAUAAUUACAUCAUCAACCAUAGAUCCAGAAGAUUGUAUUCGCUAGCAUAUCCACACAAGCUGGCCUUUCAUGCCAAAUGAUAACAAUCCUUAGUUGAAAGAAAGACAAAAUUUUUAGAAAUGUGAAGAGAUGAGACCUGACAUUGUUGAGUGGCUUCAAAUGAGAAAGACAUAUAGUUUGGUUAGAAUUUUUUUUUAUAUAAAAUAUAAAUAAGUAUAAAUAAAACGUUUUUAAUCAUUUUAAAAGCACUUUUAAAAUAGUUUUAUAUCUAUACUAUCUAUAUAAAAAUUAACAGUUUCUUGGAAAAUAUUUACCCAAAAAAAAGAUUCUUGGAAAAUAUCGACAGGUCUUGGAAUAUGGGCGG
This 1705-nucleotide long non-coding RNA is filed under the name Malus domestica (apple). Its description in RNAcentral is "long non-coding RNA (MDOM_LNC011221)". Lineage: Eukaryota; Viridiplantae; Streptophyta; Magnoliopsida; Rosales; Rosaceae. The record is from RNAcentral.